CAACUUUUAACAACGGAUCUCUAGGCUCUCGUAUCGAUGAAGAACGUAGCAAAUUGCGAUAACUAUUGUGAAUUGCAUUUCGUGAAUCAUCAAGUUUUUGAACGCAUCUUGCACUCUGUGGUAUUCCGCAGAGUACACUUGUUUCAG
RNAcentral lists this ribosomal RNA (147 nucleotides) under Pilobolus umbonatus. RNAcentral's name for it is "5.8S ribosomal RNA". It matches the Rfam family "5.8S ribosomal RNA". Rfam says of the family: 5.8S ribosomal RNA (5.8S rRNA) is a component of the large subunit of the eukaryotic ribosome. It is transcribed by RNA polymerase I as part of the 45S precursor that also contains 18S and 28S rRNA. The record is from RNAcentral. Lineage: Eukaryota; Fungi; Mucoromycota; Mucoromycetes; Mucorales; Pilobolaceae.